This 459-nucleotide ribosomal RNA is filed under the name uncultured bacterium. Its description in RNAcentral is "partial 16S ribosomal RNA". It matches the Rfam family "Bacterial small subunit ribosomal RNA", at positions 339 to 795 of the family's 1533-position model. The record is from RNAcentral.
CUACGGGAGCAGCAGUAAGGAAUAUUGGGCAAUGGACGCAAGUCUGACCCAGCCAUGCCGCGUGCAGGAUGACAGCCCUACGGGUUGUAAACUGCUUUUAUACGGGAAAAAACCCCUGCACGAGUUGCGGGGUUGAUGGUACCGUAAGAAUAAGCAUCGGCUAACUCCGUGCCAGCAGCCGCGGUAAUACGGAGGAUGCAAGCGUUAUCCGGAUUCAUUGGGUUUAAAGGGUGCGUAGGCGGAAUGAUAAGUCAGUGGUGAAAUCCUACAGCUUAACUGUAGAACUGCCAUUGAUACUGUUGUUCUUGAGUACAUUUGAAGUGGGCGGAAUGUGUCAUGUAGCGGUGAAAUGCAUAGAGAUGACACAGAACACCGAUCGCGAAGGCAGCUCACUAAACUGUAACUGACGCUGAGGCACGAAAGCGUGGGGAUCAAACAGGAUUAGAUACCCGCGUAGUC